Columba livia (rock pigeon) is the source of this 3363-nucleotide long non-coding RNA. RefSeq lists it as uncharacterized. The transcript is spliced from 3 exons. Lineage: Eukaryota; Metazoa; Chordata; Aves; Columbiformes; Columbidae. The record is from RefSeq and is a predicted model, not a curated record.
CCGUGCCCGCUCCUCCCCUCGGCCCCGGCGGGCUGCUGGGAGCGGCGGGCGGGGGAGCCCCGGCCCCGGCCCCGGCCCCGACGGCCCGGGCGGCGGCGGAGAGGGGCCGGCAUCCCCCGAGGGGCCGGCCCCGGGCUGCUGGGUGCCCUCCUUCCCCCCGAAAGCUGCGUGCUCCCAGCAGCUGCACCCCGAAAACCACCGGUUGGACCCUGCGCCCGUCGGUCAGAUCCAGUGGGCUGCUGAUUGCACCCUGCACCUGCCAGGCAGACCCCAAGAGCCUCCAGCCAGAUCCUACACCCAUCAACAAGAUCCCCAAGAGCCUCUAGAAGGAGCUUACAUCCAUCAAUUGGACCCCAAGAGCAUCCAGAAGGACCUUACAUCCAUUAAACAGACCCCUGAGAACCUCCCGCAAGACCUUACACCCAUCAACUGGACCCCAAGAACCUCCAGAAGGACCUUACAUCCACCAACUAGACUCAAAGAGCCACCAGCAGGACCCUUCACCUGCCAGCCAGACCCCAAGUGUCGCCAGCCAGACCCUACACCCAUCAGUUGGACUCCAAGAGCUGCCAGCCUGACCCUUCUCCUUCCAGGUGGACCCCAAAAGCUGCUGGCCAGACACCACUACUAUUACCUGGACCCCAAGAGCCUCCAGCCAGACUCCAGGGCUCCCCAUAGGACCCUCCAGCAGACCUGAGGCUCCUUGGCCUGUCCCUGCUCAGCCGGGGUGGCCGCAGCACUGGCUCCUUCGUGAUCACAUAAACUUCUCAGCUCCGAUCCCCUUUAGCUGCCACCAGAGCGUGAGCGCGUCCCUCCCGGGGGGACAAGGACCAAGGGGGACUUCUGGCGCCCUGGUUCCUUCCGAAGCAGAAAGUUGGAGGGGCCAGGCAGCCCCAGUUCCCGUGCUGCCCUUGGACUCACCUUGGCUCCCGGGAUCUGAACGCUAAUUUCUCCCUAAGCAGCGUCUCUUUUUACUCAUGGUUAAACUGGGAUCCCUCACCAGCCUCCCAUCAGGAGUGACCUGGGGGCUCAUCCCCAUGUGUUUGGGGCAGGGGAGUGUGGCACCAACAGCCUCCACAGCUGAUUGGGAUGAGCAAAAACUGGCAUCCCAUUGGGACCCCCCCAUCUCUAAUGUCUCUUAAUUGGUUAAGGAGCUCAGCUCUCCACUUUAUCAUCUCCUCGCCGCCUUCUCCUUCACCUUUUGGUGUUGUGCUGGCGAAAGGGGGCUGGUUUAAUGUGAUUACUCCGGUAAAGCCCACUUAAGAGGAUUCGUGGGGCUUGGCUUUACGGUACCGCAGGGGGAUGAGCGUGCUGGCCGUGGGAUGGUGGAAAGUGUGGAAGAGGCUUUGUAAGCAACAUGGUCGUUGGCACCUCAAACCGUGGUGUCCCACGGGUGACCCCGGGAUUCCGCAGACCCCUUGGGUGCCACGUGCUGCCUUUACCUGGCUCUGCAAGGCAGAGAUUGGCCCGUGGCGCAGCUGCUGCUUGUCCCAGCGAGAGGUGCAGGUAAUGGGAAGUGGAAAACACAAAGAAGGGGGAAGAAGUGCCUUGGCGGGGAUCUGGGGCUGGUGUUUGGGGAGGGAGAGGGCUGCACCUUGUAAAGGAAUAUGGGGAGAGGAUGGUUUAUGCUGGGACUGGGUAAACCCAGCAUGUUUUACAGUGUUUUCCAGAAUAACACUGCUCCAGGCAGGUGUUUGUCCCAGGCUGUGGAUCGGCAGAGGGGUUUGUCCCCUGGGCAGCUCAGGGACGAGCGUGUUGCUGCCAGUGCCGUGUCAGCUCUGCAGCUCUCCUGCUCUAGCACCAUGUCCCACUUCUCGCAGGAAGAAGGAGCUACACAGAGAUGCUGUGAAACCUCCUUUUGCCGUUCUGCAGGGAGCCAUCGGGUCACGUGUGCUCACCAGUAUCCUACUGGUAGAGCCAGUGUGGCUGAUCUGUGCUGGGCAGAUGCGUCUGCUGCUCCCCAGGGUGCUGCAGGCUCUGGUCCUGCAGCGGGACCACGCGAGCUGAACUGAAUCCCAAACCCCAGUUCUGAGCCAGCAAGAUUGAAGUCCUCAACUGGAAACGGGGCCUCCCAGUUAGAACUGGGCUGAGCAUCACUGCUCAUCUGCAGCUCAAGUUCAGGUUUCUGGAUUUCACAACUUUUUAAAUGACUUUUGUCAUCUCUGGGGAUGGAGGCUGGGAGAUUGUGGUGCUCCUCUCUGGGUUGGAGAAGGUAAAAGCACUUGCGCUGUUCCAGGAGCCGAGUUCAAACCCCAAACCACCCGAGAACAAAAGCUGUGGGUGACCCAGAGCUCUGGGGCUGACACCAGAGUGUCCUCCAGAUGUUCUGGUCUCCCAAGGAAUCCUGCAGCAACGUCCAAACCAUCAUCUCUGCAACAUUAAAUUAUCUUUCUGGGUUUUUUUUCAAUAACGUGGCCCAGGUUUCCACAGGGCCUCCAGAAAUGUGUGUAUGUGUCCAGGCAUAUUGAUAUAUAUUAACUUAAAUAUCAUAUAGAUGGACCAGGUGAGUACAAGCGGAUUAGGAGCAUCAGGUGCGGGGGGCAUCUGCAGGACUGACAGGCCCCAAGAUCUGGUCCUAAAUAGCUUCUUUUCCACAAAAAUCUACAAGGCAGUAUGUCUGUGUCCAUAUAGCAUUUACACCCAGGUUUUUCUUAUUUAUGCUUUUCUUUGCUCAGGGAUAAUUGCUGCAGAGCAACAGCUGAUUUGGGCUGAGCCCAGAGGGCUGCUGUAACGGGAGUCCCGGGGGACAGGAGAGGGCUAAGCCAGAUGCAUUAUCUCUGCCCUAAGUGCAAAUUUUCUAAAUUAUGAAGCAAAUUCAGCCUUUCCAAACCCCAACCCCAGGGUGCAGUCAGCGCAGCUCCAUGGCAUCCCGGCUCAGCAGGUACCAGCUGUCGGUGAAGCGCGAACUCAACAAACCACCACCAAAUUUCUGCAAGCACCAAUAAAGCAUUGAGUGGAAAAAACGCUUGCUGCUUUCCCUCUUGUUUUUCUUGGCUCCUCUGCGUUGCGGGCGGGCUGACACAGGGAGCUCUGUGUCUGCAGAUGGCUGCGAUCCUUGGGGAAGCCGCGCGGCUCCAGACAAUGCGCCCAUUGCUGCCGGGAGAGCAGUGACCCUGAGAUCAUGAAGCUGCAAGACUCUUAAUAAAACUGCAGGAGUUGCUGCAACAUCUGUCCCACUUCAGUGCCAACGCAGUCCUCGGGGCGGCUGAGCUCUGAAACCGCAGCGUACGCAGAAAUUUGUCCCAUUUCCUACACUUGGGCAAAUGCCGUGCAACAGAAACCGCGGAUCCGAACUCUGUGUCUGCAGGACACGUGAGGGAUUUUGUCCUCUGGUGCAAUAAAGAGGCAAAGAUGGACUCUUAA